This 443-nucleotide ribosomal RNA is filed under the name uncultured bacterium. RNAcentral describes it as "partial 16S ribosomal RNA". It matches the Rfam family "Bacterial small subunit ribosomal RNA", at positions 338 to 795 of the family's 1533-position model. The record is from RNAcentral.
CCUACGGGAGGCUGCAGUGGGGAAUAUUGGGCAAUGGGCGCAGGCCUGACCCAGCAACGCCGCGUGAAGGAAGAAGGCUUUCGGGUUGUAAACUUCUUUUAUGAGGGACGAAAGAAAUGACGGUACCUCAUGAAUAAGCCACGGGUAACUACGUGCCAGCAGCCGCUGCAAAACGUAGGUGGCAAGCGUUAACCGGAUUUAAUGGGUGUAAAGGGGGUGUAGGCGGGACUGCAAGUCAGAUGUGAAAAGUAUGGGGCUAACCCAUAACGUGCAGUUGAAAAUGUAGUUCUUGAGUGAUGGAGAGGCAUGCGGAAUGCGGGGUGUAGCGGUGAAAUGCAUAGAUAUAACGAAGAACACCAGUGGCGAAGGCAGCCUGCUGGACAUUAACUGACGCUGAGGCGCGAAAGCGUGGGGAGCGAACAGGAUUAGAUACCCCAGUAGUC